GAUGAACGCUGGCGGCGUGCCUAAUACAUGCAAGUCGAGCGAACGGACGAGAAGCUUUCUUCUCUGAUGUUAGCGGCGGACGGGUGAGUAACACGUGGAUAACCUACCUAUAUGACUUGGAUAACUUCGGGAAACCGUAUCUAAUACCGGCUAAUAUUUUGAACCGCAUGGUUCAAAAGUUAAAGACGGUCUUGCUUUCACUUAUAGAUGGAUCCGCGCUGCAUUAGCUAGUUGGUAAGGUAACGGCUUACCAAGGCAACGAUGCAUAGCCGACCUGAGAGGGUGAUCGGCCACACUGGAACUGAGACACGGUCCAGACUCCUACGGGAGGCAGCAGUAGGGAAUCUUCCGCAAUGGGCGAAAGCCUGACGGAGCAACGCCGCGUGAGUGAUGAAGGUCUUCGGAUCGUAAAACUCUGUUAUUAGGGAAGAACAUAUGUGUAAGUAACUGUGCACAUCUUGACGGUACCUAAUCAGAAAGCCACGGCUAACUACGUG
Molecule: ribosomal RNA, 497 nt
Filed under: uncultured bacterium
Lineage: Bacteria
Description: partial 16S ribosomal RNA
Rfam family: Bacterial small subunit ribosomal RNA
Source: RNAcentral